UCCGUAGCUAUAUUGAAGAACUUCAUUGGUNAUGGUGGCUGUCUGGUUUGUAACUGACGCUUAGGCUCUAAAGUAUGGGUAGCUAACAGGAUUAGAUACCCUGGUAGUCCAUACCGUAAACGAUGAAUGCUAAGUGUUGGAGGGUAUCCGCCCUUCAGUGCUGCAGCUAACGCAUUAAGCAUUCCGCCUGGGGAGUACGGCCGCAAGGCUGAAACUCAAAGGAAUUGACGGGGGCCCGCACAAGCGGUGGAGCAUGUGGUUUAAUUCGAAGCUACGCGAAGAACCUUACCAGGUCUUGACAUACUAUGCAAAUCUAAGAGAUUAGACGUUCCCUUCGGGGACAUGGAUACAGGUGGUGCAUGGUUGUCGUCAGCUCGUGUCGUGAGAUGUUGGGUUAAGUCCCGCAACGAGCGCAACCCUUAUUAUCAGUUGCCAGCAUUAAGUUGGGCACUCUGGUGAGACUGCCGGUGACAAACCGGAGGAAGGUGGGGAUGACGUCAAAUCAUCAUGCCCCUUAUGACCUGGGCUACACACGUGCUACAAUGGAUGGUACAACGAGUUGCGAACUCGCGAGAGUAAGCUAAUCUCUUAAAGCCAUUCUCAGUUCGGAUUGUAGGCUGCAACUCGCCUACAUGAAGUCGGAAUCGCUAGUAAUCGCGGAUCAGCAUGCCGCGGUGAAUACGUUCCCGGGCCUUGUACACACCGCCCGUCACACCAUGAGAGUUUGUAACACCCAAAGUCGGUGGGGUAACCUUUUAGGAACCAGCCGCCUAAGGACAGA
This 781-nucleotide ribosomal RNA is filed under the name Lactiplantibacillus plantarum. RNAcentral describes it as "bacterial SSU rRNA". It matches the Rfam family "Bacterial small subunit ribosomal RNA", at positions 687 to 1471 of the family's 1533-position model. Lineage: Bacteria; Bacillati; Bacillota; Bacilli; Lactobacillales; Lactobacillaceae. The record is from RNAcentral.